This is a long non-coding RNA of Nyctereutes procyonoides (raccoon dog), 3422 nucleotides long. RefSeq lists it as uncharacterized. The transcript has 3 exons. Lineage: Eukaryota; Metazoa; Chordata; Mammalia; Carnivora; Canidae. The record is from RefSeq and is a predicted model, not a curated record.
GUUUAUAAUACUUGAGCAGAUUUUAAAAACGGGAGAUUUGAAGCAAUGUGGUUAACUUGAAAUUGCAAAACUGGGUGUUGGGUAUGGGGGUGGUUCGUUUUACUAUCCUCUCCACCUUUACAUCAUUGCAAAAUGCUUAUUAAAAAGUUUUAAGUCGUUGUUUUCUGAUAAUGACCUUUGUUUACCUCCCGUGUUUCUCAGAUUAUUUUCUACGAUAUGCCUUCUUUUACCAAAAAGGCAUUAAAAAUCAGAAGAGCUGACAGUCCGCAGAGAUGUUUUUAUUGCUGUGUAAUAGUAGUGAAUCCCCAGAAUGCUGUGAUAAGCCUGUGUACCUUAACGUGAGCUCAUAAAUGGUCCAAAUCCUCUCUCUGGGAUAGCACCCUGCCAUCUGAGACUAUGCUGUAAAUAUGAUCGGCUGAUAAAAAGCCCAGCUGCCACGGACCAUUUUAAAGAUUAGGAACCAUUUAAACACACACACACAUACACACACCCCACCUCUAGCCUCUUAAAUGUUAAGUGGCAAGAUACUCUGGUUUUACUUCCAAAGUUUCAUGCAAUAAUCAUGUAAGCAGCAAACAGCACAGAGCUCCACAUACCACCAAGCUGACUCAGAAGGAAGGGUUCCACAUUCCUUAAUUAGCAGCUUCAGAAAAGCAGCUCUUCCUGCAGUGGAGUUUCCCAUUUCAGCCAGCUACUCAUUGGCUCAACACACCCCACAGGUUCUCACAGGGGAGUUCCAGAAAGUCUGGAACCCGAGACAAUGUUAUUGAAUUUACAUUAACCAUUUCCUUUGUUCUGCUUUCAUUCUAGUUUAUUUUAUCAUACCCUAUUGUAUUCUGAUUUUUGCAGAUUGAAGAUGUCCACAAUAGCAUUAUGCAUAUUCUUUUUUGUCUCCAGGCUUCCCGGACACCCUGUCUAUACGGAGAUCACAGCCGGGAGCAGAAUAAAUGAGCACUUCACCAACUUGAAAAUACAAUUCUCUUGGUUAUUAAUAGUCAAAAGACUCCCAGUACUGGGCCAGAAGUUUCUUUUUUAGUAGCAAUUACUUAAAUUAAGUUUCUGAUUUGUAUUAAAGUUUUCUGGCAGAACUCAACACAGGAUGCAAGAGCAUGAGGAAGAUUUCCAAACAAGAUUACACGGUUUUCCGAUGUGCUACAUUUGAUCAUCUCUGAAAAGGCAGGGGCGACAUUGCAAUCUUAAUUGAAAUGUCAAAUUCUUGGGAAACGUUCUUGUUAACAUUGGACUUAAGGAUUGUAAUGAUUGUUUACUUUGAGCUCCAGAGGUUUUGAAGAAAUGUAAAAGAAUCCUAAGCAGGUGAAUGAGAGAUUUGACAGAUACUUAAAAAACACCAUUUGGGGAAAACCUGGUUUUUGUCCCUUGAGGGAUCCUCAAAAUCUGUUCAAUGAGGCAUUGUUCCAUUUUUUUUCUCUUUCAGUCUUCUCUUCCUUGAACUAGGCCUUUUCAAAGAAUGCUUCUGCUCAUUGACCAGCAGGUUGAGAGAUUUAUAUUUGGUUUCUAAUUAAGUACCCUAACUGUAAGUGAGAGAAUGGAGAAGAAAAGCCCAUAGUCUUAUAUCCCAAGAAGAAAGCAAAUGUUUGCCUCAGUGGCAAACCUGCCUUCUCAGGAGUCUAAGAGGGAGCAAAGAAGACCCAUUUUAUUUCUUCUGAAGACAUCCUCUGGCGCUUGAGAACGUCUGAUGUUGUUUAGCAGGUCACAGAGAGAGAGGCAGAGACACAGGCAGAGGAAGAAGCAGGCUCCAUGCACCGGAAGCCCGACGUGGGAUUCGAUCCCGGGUCUCCAGGAUUAUGGCCUUUUGGGAUUCUUGGGUCAUUUUUUAAAAAAUGGCCGAGUACUUGGCUGUAUCCUGCUUUUCUUCAUUUGAUUGUUCAACGUGCUGAUGUUUCUCAGGUGUUAAAAAUAAUGUCAGAUUGUUAAAUCACCUCUUGUUUCCUUUCUCUUUUAAAAUUUGCAAAAUACCAACGGUAUAGGCUAUACAGACCCCCUUCCUGCUCACCCACUCACCGCCCCAUCCUCCUCCCCACACAGCUCCUUCUGGUUCAGCAGAAUGGUAAAGAAUAUCUCUGAAAACUGAGAAAAAAAAAAAAGUUUCACUGACAGUUGAAUUAAAACCCUAACAGGUAAAGACUCAUACCAGGAAACUUUUUAUUUUAAGAUUUUAUUUAUAUACUUGAAAGAGAGAGAGAGAGCACAGAGGGAAAGGGAGAAGCAGACCCCCACUGAGCAGGGAGCCUUACCUGGGACUGGAUCCCAGGACUCUGGGAUCAUGACCUAGGCCAAAGGUAGACGCUUAACCUACUGAGGGGCCCCAGGAAACUCUUUUUCCCCUCUGUAUCUUAAGAUAUUUUAGGACAUAUUAUCCAGGAAUAAAGACCACAAAAGGGAUAUUCACAUUGUAAAGGAAAACCAAAUUGAGAGGGUCCUUAUCUCCUUAAAAAAAAAAAAUCUUAGCUCUGGGCCUCAUGGUGACUUGGAGGGAGGGCCCUGGGAGGCUGGAUAACCACAGUGGGAGGGAAACUGGUAUUUCUCUGUGUGCUUUUUGUGCUUCCUGAAUUCGAUAUCAGAAGAGGAUAUUCACUUCUUUAAAAAAACACACAUGGACAUGUUUUAAGUACAGAAGUAAUUAUGUCUGAAUCCCAGUCUUAAGGAAUCAAGCUCUCAUUAAAUAAGACACCUACCCCCUCUGUCUCCAGUACCUGAGUUUCCUGACCUCCUCCUCUUGCUUUCCACUUCAGAAUCAAACUUCACUAAGAAUAGGACACCUGCUCCAUUCUGACCAUGAGUACAUUGUUGGAGAAGCCUUGACAGUGCUCCGCCCCCCAAAGUUGAUUAUCAAACUAUAUAAAAUAGAGACACCCAAAGCUAUUUAUGAGGUGGAUCUUCACAGCACUUGUACUUUGUCUAUUCUCAGCCCAAUUCAACUUUCUCUCAACACAUCCGACCUCAAAGUUGGCAAAUGGGCCACUAGAAGUGGACCUCAUGUCACAUUUGCUAUGAUCCAGAGUGAGAUGCUCUGGUGAACACCUGCUUGAGGCUUCUUCGGGGGCACCUGCCUGCUAAUGUGCUUCCUCCACCCCUUCCUACUCUCCCUCAUGGGAUUAAUUUAGACAUUUUCUGAAGUAUUUAUUUAAAACCAUUCUCCUCCUGAGUCAGGAUGGACUUUGCUCAUCCUAUUUCCUUGAAAUAAAUAUUUCCACCUUGCAUGGGUGAGCAAUUGCACGAGAGCAUGAUUUCUUUCAGAGCACACCAUGGAUGAUAGUAUGUGUUUACAGAGAUGUAAAAAAAAAAAAUGUGCAAUUUGAACUUCCCUUCCAAAAUGACGACAGGUGCCUCUGGCUUGUAGAAAACGUGGCAAGAUUUGUAAUUUGAUAUAUAGGGAGAGGAUCCACUGUGGGGCGACUCUC